Long non-coding RNA from Fundulus heteroclitus (mummichog), 2302 nucleotides. RefSeq lists it as uncharacterized. The record is from RefSeq and is a predicted model, not a curated record. The transcript is spliced from 2 exons. NCBI's taxonomy places the organism in Eukaryota, Metazoa, Chordata, Actinopteri, Cyprinodontiformes, Fundulidae.
UAGCAUUAGCUUCAUUUCAGGUUGCAAAAAUACAUCACAACACUCACCGGAGAAAUUCACAGCAGAAACAGAUUUAACUGCAAGAAUCCUUCUCUUCAGUCAACCGUUACCGGAUUUCACAAAAAAAUUAUCGUGUAAGGUACUUUAUUUUUUUUUCAGUGUACUAUGCACCUUAUUUUCGGCGGAAAUACAGAGGCAGCGAGUUGACGUUUUUUUGUGCGAGACUUCCAACCGCUCACUUCCUGUCACUGUUUAGCUAGCUGAAAAGCGACUUAUGCAGCUACUUCGUCUCAAAUUACUCGUCAUUAUGACUUAGAGGAAGACCGGGAUCAAUUGUACGGUUACAGGUUGUCAUAAUAACGGGUGUAAAAGAAAGGUUUAUGUGGAGAAGGAGUGUUUUAAUCAUCGACAGGGAACAAGAGCUUCGGAUGCGGGGUGCCCUACUUCCUUCAACUCCAGCCGAAGAAUGAAGAACCUCCUCGCCUGUGAUUAAAAGCUUAAAAUUUGAAGAAACCACCGAAGCGACUGUAUGUUUUUUGUUUUCAUUUUGUGGACAAAAGACUGACAGAAGACCCACGACGCCAGAAAAGUGGCUGGGCUACGAAGUUCCAUUAAAAACAAAAUCAAGGAGACAAAGAGGAGAGACACAGAUGACAGCCGGUGUGAUGCAGAGGCUAACCGGACCGCUCCAUAGUCAGAGUCACCUAUGAAUAAACAUGCUGAAACUACAGGCACCGAUGGAUCACACCUAGGAGAAAAGAAGAAGAAAAAUGUAUGGGGCAGGGAACACACUGGCUUCUUGGAGUAUCUUCGUCUUGGCGAUAAAGUGACGGCAGACAGAGGCUUUACCAUUGGAGAUCUGCUGUUUGAGAGGCGAUUUAACCUUGUUCUACCAGCAUUCACUUAUAAAGGAGAGCAGUCCUCUGUUAAGGAUGUAACUGCCACAAGGAGGACUGCAAUUGUCCACAUACAUGUGGAAAGAGUUAUCAUGAGGCUCAAAGUUUUCACAAUGUAAUUGGCAUUUAUUCAUAAUUAGAUCAAGUGGAUGUCUAAAGUGUAUCUUAUGGACAUGAACUGGCAAGAAGAUACAGUUUUUCAUUUAUUGAGUUUAUGCAAUUUGUUUACACUAAAUGUAAUUACAUUUAACUUUUAAAAUGGUAAAACAUUGUUAAGUUUUAACAUUUCAUUUUGCUAGCAUAUUUGUAGGCCAUUUAAUUCUUUGUGGUGCAGGAAACAUCAAUCAUUCAGCCUUUUGGGGAUGGCGCAGCUCAUCUGUUCAGGAGAAUCCGUUCAGACCUUGGCCACGGCAAACUGCACCUUUAAACAAAGUCACAGUUACUUUUUAUUUAUAUUAGUCCUUGGUGUCACAUUUAUAUAAAAAUAUGGAUAGUUUGUAGUGACGACUAUAAACAGUCCAUAUUUUUCUACUUACCUUCCUGAUAUAUGUCCAAAUUGCCAUUAAAGAUUAGACGGUUAUGAAUUAGAAUGGAGGACUUACCUUUACAGAAAGGAAGAGGUGGUGUGCUGACCGAAUAUUAGCCAAACUUGAAUGACCCCGCAGCAUCAAUGAACAAGAGAUCAGACUUUUACUUAUCUGUUGAAUCUGUUGAAUAAAAAAUAAAAACGUUUUCAUAUACCAAAUUUUAUUUCCCAAAUGCUUUAAAGUCAAUGUUUUCAUUAGCUCUUUAACAUUGACACCCUAACAAAUAAACUAGAAAUAGAGUUACAGCUUCAUCCUAAAGCCAACUUACAUUUUAACUAGGGCUGUCAAAAUAACGCGUUAAUUUCGAUUAAUUAAUUUUAAAAAAACGGCUUUCGAAAAUAAGGUGCUGCAGCCCAUAGACAUAAUACAAGAGUAGACCCCGCAUUGACUGUCGUGGCGCAGGAAUUACGGCCGCUGUGACGGCCCUGCUGCGCGGUCCGGUGUGCUAUGACUGUCGAUUAAUUCUAUCAAUUAAGGUCCUUUAAGUGGGAGGCGCUUCCAUUAUGCGGCCACCUGGAUUGUACUUAAGGAGCGCCGUUCCAUUCAGGAGGGGAGUCCCCUGGUCGAAGCAAGCGCGCUGCAGACAGCCAUCCAGUCCAGACCAGGUUGGGGUCUGGGCUUCCUGGUGUGGAGGGACCAAGCGUGAUUGCCCCAUUCGAGCUGCCGUCUGAUUCCGACGUCUAGACCAGUUUUUUGAUUCUUUUAAAUAAAUGCCUUUUAUAGGCUGAAAGCACUGCCUGUUUCCGUGUCCCCCAGUUUUUUUGUUGCGACCAGUCGAGCCGGGUCGUAACAAAUGGGGGCUCGUCAAAAAACAAACAA